Molecule: ribosomal RNA, 460 nt
Filed under: uncultured bacterium
Lineage: Bacteria
Description: partial 16S ribosomal RNA
Rfam family: Bacterial small subunit ribosomal RNA
Source: RNAcentral
CCUACGGGUGGCUGCAGUGAGGAAUAUUGGUCAAUGGACGAGAGUCUGAACCAGCCAAGUAGCGUGAAGGAUGACUGCCCUAUGGGUUGUAAACUUCUUUUAUAAAGGAAUAAAACGAGGCACGUGUGCCUUUUGGCAUGUACUUUAUGCAUAAGGAUCGGCUAACUCCGUGCCAGCAGCCGCGGUAAGACGGAGGUGCCGAGCGUUAUCCGGAUUGAUUGGGUUUAACGGGAGCGUAGAGGGGUUGUUAAGUCAGUUGUGAAAGCUUGCGGCUCAACCGUAAAAUUGCAAUUGAUACUGGCAGUCUUGAGUACAGUUGAGGUAGGCGGAAUUCGUGGUGUAGCGGUGAAAUGCUUAGAUAUCACGAAGAACCCCGAUUGCGAAGGCAGCUUCCUAAACUGUGACUGACAUUGAUGCUCGAAAGUGUGGGUAUCAAACAGGAUUAGAUACCCGGGUAGUC